RNAcentral lists this microRNA precursor (102 nucleotides) under Marmota monax (woodchuck). The record is from RNAcentral. Lineage: Eukaryota; Metazoa; Chordata; Mammalia; Rodentia; Sciuridae.
AUGUGUAUCACCUGGGGAUCUUGCUAAAAUGCAUAUUUUUAUCUGGUAAGUCUAGAAGGCUUGAGAUUGUGAAUUACUAUCAAGUCCUCAGAUGAUACCUAA